GAUGAACGCUGGCGGCGUGCCUAAUACAUGCAAGUCGAGCGAAUGGAUUAAGAGCUUGCUCUUAUGAAGUUAGCGGCGGACGGGUGAGUAACACGUGGGUAACCUGCCCAUAAGACUGGGAUAACUCCGGGAAACCGGGGCUAAUACCGGAUAACAUUUUGAACCGCAUGGUUCGAAAUUGAAAGGCGGCUUCGGCUGUCACUUAUGGAUGGUCCCGCGUCGCAGUAGCCAGUUGGUGCGGUAACGGCUCACCAAGACAACGAUGCGUAGCCGACCGGAGAGGGAGAUCGGCCACACUGGGACUGAGACACGGCCCAGACUCCUACGGGAGGCAGCAGUAGGGAAUCUUCCGCAAUGGACGAAAGUCUGACGGAGCAACGCCGCGUGAGUGAUGAAGGCUUUCGGGUCGUAAAACUCUGUUGUUAGGGAAGAACAAGUGCUAGUUGAAUAAGCUGGCACCUUGACGGUACCUAACCAGAAAGCCACGGCUAACUACGUGCCAGCCGCCGCCGUAA
RNAcentral lists this ribosomal RNA (515 nucleotides) under uncultured bacterium. Its description in RNAcentral is "partial 16S ribosomal RNA". It matches the Rfam family "Bacterial small subunit ribosomal RNA", at positions 28 to 523 of the family's 1533-position model. The record is from RNAcentral.